This 338-nucleotide unclassified non-coding RNA is filed under the name soil metagenome. RNAcentral's name for it is "partial contains 5.8S ribosomal RNA, internal transcribed spacer 2, and large subunit ribosomal RNA". The stretch from base 1 to 120 matches the Rfam family "5.8S ribosomal RNA", at positions 35 to 154 of the family's 154-position model. The record is from RNAcentral.
GAUGAAGAACGCAGCGAAAUGCGAUACGUAGUGUGAAUUGCAGAAUUCAGUGAAUCAUCGAAUCUUUGAACGCACAUUGCGCCCUUUGGUAUUCCAAAGGGCAUGCCUGUUCGAGCGUCAUUUGUACCCUCAAGCUUUGCUUGGUGUUGGGCGUCUUGUCUCCAGUCCGCUGGAGACUCGCCUUAAAGUCAUUGGCAGCCGGCCUACUGGUUUCGGAGCGCAGCACAAGUCGCACUCUUUUCCAGCCAAGGUCAGCGUCCAACAAGCCUUUUUUCAACUUUUGACCUCGGAUCAGGUGGGGAUACCCGCUGAACUUAAGCAUAUCAAUAAGCGGAGGA